AAUGAACGUUGGCGGCAUGGAUUAGGCAUGCAAGUCGAGCGAGAAGCAUUCUUCGGAAUGUGGACAGCGGCAAACGGGGUAGUAAUACGUCGGUACGUCCCCCUGCGUUCGGAAUAGCCAUGGGAAACUGUGGGUAAUGCCGAAUAAUAUCUCCGGAUCAAAGGUCCGCCGCGCAGGGACCGGCUGACGCGAUACUAGGUAGUUGGUGAGGUAAAGGCUCACCAAGCCAUUGAUGUCUAGGGGGUGUGAGAGCAUGGCCCCCACCACUGGGACUGAGACACUGCCCAGACACCUACGGGUGGCUGCAGUCGAGAAUCUUCGGCAAUGGGCGAAAGCCUGACCGAGCAAUGCCGCGUGCGGGAUGAAGGCCUUCGGGUUGUAAACCGCUGUCAGAGGGGAUGAAACUUCGGUUGACAGAGCCUCAGAGGAAGCACGGGCUAAGUACGUGCCAGCCGCCGCCGUAACAC
Molecule: ribosomal RNA, 467 nt
Filed under: uncultured bacterium
Lineage: Bacteria
Description: bacterial SSU rRNA
Rfam family: Bacterial small subunit ribosomal RNA
Source: RNAcentral